Daphnia pulex (common water flea) is the source of this 2177-nucleotide long non-coding RNA. RefSeq lists it as uncharacterized. NCBI's taxonomy places the organism in Eukaryota, Metazoa, Arthropoda, Branchiopoda, Diplostraca, Daphniidae. The record is from RefSeq and is a predicted model, not a curated record. The transcript is spliced from 9 exons.
UAAAUUUGCAUGACAGACUUUAUGAAAAGUAAUGUUCUUUCAAGAAAGUCAACAAGGUCCCUUUUUGCUAACCCAAUGGCUGCUACCCUUGAAUCUCCCUAUUUAGCUCCUUACACAGUCCCUCUUGAUUUGAGGGUGAUCCUUCGCUACUGAUCAUGGACUCCAUUGGUGAAACUGAAAACCGACGAGAGAAUGCUGUAAUCCAAGACUGAUAAAUUGUGUGCUGAUUUAAACAAGUUGCGACUGGAGAACCACCUGCAGGUCGAGGGUCUAUGAGAAAGAUUCCUACCGUCAAAGAAACCAAACAAACCCAAGGUCGCCGUGUACGACUUACUGAACAUUUCAUACCAACUCUUCCUCUGUUACUCGGGAAAUAUAUGACUGAUCCCGAACAAGUUGCAAACCUCUUGUCAAUCCCUCAAUACCUUAAUAUGGAAAUCUAUACUACCUCACGUCAAGAGAAGAGUCUAGAUUCGUUAUUGCGCUUGAUCCAGAAUAUAGUGGAAAGGCACACCACAACAGAAGUGUCGGAAGGCUGCGCUCAAGCGCUGGAAUAUCUUUGUAAUGAAGAAAUGCGAACAAGAUUAUGAAAAUUAUGUAACACUGAUGGCUGGCGACGACGAGCCCAACAAGGAUUCGGUGUUUACGCUGGUAUUGGGUUUGAAAAAAAUUGCCUUAUUCUCGUCACAUCACAAUCUUGGGACAUGGAAUUUGUGGGAUGUUUAACGGAAUUCAAGAAACUUUAAACCUAAAUCGGUCAAUGCCACUUGAAGCUAUAAAUUAUUGCAUUUUUUGCUUGCCAUUCUGCUGUUUUAUGGGAGCUUCUGCAAUUCAAAAACUGUUCUGGACAAGGAACGUCUGCCGCUCAACAACAGAAACAAUUAAGAGAUCAUUUGGACGCGUACAUGUCUUUGAUGACUGAGCUUAUCACUUCGAACGUUGCUGAUUUUAGAGAAGAGGCAUACGUGUCUGUAGGGGAUUUGCUUAUAUGGUUUAGCAAGCGACUAAAAGACAAUCCUCAGUUAAAACCGCUUGUUUACGAGCCUGAUCGUGACCUACAACAAAUUCUGGAAAACUUCAUUCAGACUUAUGUAUUUGUUGAAGAAGAAGAAGAUGUAGACGAGGAAGGAGACGAACAUAAAAAAAUUGAAAAAUUGCACAAUCGCCGGAACUAUUUAUCGGUUUUCUGCAAACUCGUGGCUUGCAAGUUGCAACGUCUUGCCUGUAAAAGCUGCGGCAGGUGUUAUUAGACACUAUGUCAAGUAUUACGAUGAUUACGGUGACAUCAUUAAGACAUUAUUGGGAAAAACUCGAAACAUCAACAAAAUUACCAGUGCAAAAACUAUGGUUCUUAGUCUCUCAUUGCUGUUUCACGAUCUAACAAGGGAUGGUGGAAGUCGUAUUGAUCGGCAGUCAGAACAAUUUCUUAGUGUCAAGGAAUUGGCCAAAGAAUUAGCCAUGUCAUUUGGACUCGAUACGGUGAAAAAUCGCGAAGCUAUCACCGCCCUUCAUAGAGACGGAAUUAUUUUUGCCAAAUCCACUCGAGAAUCCAAAUAAUCAAAUUGGCCCUCUUCCUAAUUUAGCGUUUCUUGAAAUUUGUGGCGAGUUUUCAAACAAACUGUUAAAACAAGACAAAAAGGUGGUUUUACAGUUUUUGGACCGAAUGCUCAUCAUGGGUAGGCUUUCACCUCGUCGAGAAUGGGAACCUAUCUUGUUCUACCGGAAUUCCUUGGUUCAUGGCGAAACUGAUCCACCUCCGCAUUCUGUCAGGAGCGCUAACAGACGACGUCGUCGCGAUACAGGUGGAGACGACGGUGAAAUCGCUGAUAACGAUGAUGGAUCAGAUCACGAAUUUGCCGAGGGUGGGUAAUGUUAACCGGUUUGACUUCAGCAUUUGAGUCUUGUGAAUGAAUGAAGUGAAUUCGUAGUAACAUAACAUGUACGUGUAAAAGUUUCAUUUCAUUUUUUGAUAAAUUUCCAGUGUUAACGCAUCUUAUCUGCGAUGAUUCUAGGAAAUGUUAGUUUUUAUUAACGUUUGGUGAGGUGCUUUGUUAUUUAUCCUUUUGGCUACUGAACUGCGACAUGUAAAUUUCCAUUUUAACAAUGGAUCCUGCUGUUAGAUUACGUACGAUCGCACUUGUAGGAUUCUCUAGGAUAAAUAAACACAGUUGACAGUU